AGACAGCAGUAGCCGCGGGAAUACGGAGGGUGCAAGCGUUAAUCGGAAUUACUGGGCGUAAAGCGCACGCAGGCGGUCUGACAAGUCAGAUGUGAAAUCCCCGGGCUUAACCUGGGAACUGCAUUUGAAACUGUCAGGCUGGAGUCUUGUAGAGGGGGGUAGAAUUCCAGGUGUAGCGGUGAAAUGCGUAGAGAUCUGGAGGAAUACCGGUGGCGAAGGCGGCCCCCUGGACAAAGACUGACGCUCAGGUGCGAAAGCGUGGGGAGCAAACAGGAUUAGAUACCCCGGUAGUCCCUGUCUCUUAUAC
This 307-nucleotide ribosomal RNA is filed under the name uncultured bacterium. RNAcentral's name for it is "partial 16S ribosomal RNA". It matches the Rfam family "Bacterial small subunit ribosomal RNA", at positions 506 to 807 of the family's 1533-position model. The record is from RNAcentral.